UGUUGGGAUCUCUGCGGAAGGGGU
RNAcentral lists this non-coding RNA (24 nucleotides) under Cricetulus griseus (Chinese hamster). The record is from RNAcentral. Lineage: Eukaryota; Metazoa; Chordata; Mammalia; Rodentia; Cricetidae.